This 456-nucleotide ribosomal RNA is filed under the name Escherichia coli. RNAcentral's name for it is "partial 23S ribosomal RNA". It matches the Rfam family "Bacterial large subunit ribosomal RNA", at positions 1 to 496 of the family's 2925-position model. Lineage: Bacteria; Pseudomonadati; Pseudomonadota; Gammaproteobacteria; Enterobacterales; Enterobacteriaceae. The record is from RNAcentral.
GGUUAAGCGACUAAGCGUACACGGUGGAUGCCCUGGCAGUCAGAGGCGAUGAAGGACGUGCUAAUCUGCGAUAAGCGUCGGUAAGGUGAUAUGAACCGUUAUAACCGGCGAUUUCCGAAUGGGGAAACCCAGUGUGAUUCGUCACACUAUCAUUAACUGAAUCCAUAGGUUAAUGAGGCGAACCGGGGGAACUGAAACAUCUAAGUACCCCGAGGAAAAGAAAUCAACCGAGAUUCCCCCAGUAGCGGCGAGCGAACGGGGAGCAGCCCAGAGCCUGAAUCAGUGUGUGUGUUAGUGGAAGCGUCUGGAAAGGCGUGCGAUACAGGGUGACAGCCCCGUACACAAAAAUGCACAUAUUGUGAGCUCGAUGAGUAGGGCGGGACACGUGGUAUCCUGUCUGAAUAUGGGGGGACCAUCCUCCAAGGCUAAAUACUCCUGACUGACCGAUAGUGAACC